RNAcentral lists this ribosomal RNA (401 nucleotides) under uncultured Oscillospiraceae bacterium. RNAcentral's name for it is "bacterial SSU rRNA". It matches the Rfam family "Bacterial small subunit ribosomal RNA", at positions 356 to 774 of the family's 1533-position model. The record is from RNAcentral. Lineage: Bacteria; Bacillati; Bacillota; Clostridia; Eubacteriales; Oscillospiraceae.
GGGGGAUAUUGCACAAUGGAGGAAACUCUGAUGCAGCAACGCCGCGUGAGGGAAGAAGGUUUUCGGAUUGUAAACCUCUGUCCCCGGGGACGAUAAUGACGGUACCCGGGGAGGAAGCUCCGGCUAACUACGUGCCAGCAGCCGCGGUAAUACGUAGGGAGCAAGCGUUAUCCGGAUUUACUGGGUGUAAAGGGCGCGCAGGCGGGAAAACAAGUUGGGAGUGAAAUCCGGGGGCUCAACCCCCGAACUGCUUUCAAAACUGUUUUUCUUGAGUGAUGGAGAGGCAGGCGGAAUUCCCAGUGUAGCGGUGAAAUGCGUAGAUAUUGGGAGGAACACCAGUGGCGAAGGCGGCCUGCUGGACAUUAACUGACGCUGAGGCGCGAAAGCGUGGGGAGCAAACA